Molecule: ribosomal RNA, 253 nt
Filed under: uncultured bacterium
Lineage: Bacteria
Description: partial 16S ribosomal RNA
Rfam family: Bacterial small subunit ribosomal RNA
Source: RNAcentral
UACAGAGGUCUCAAGCGUUGUUCGGAUUCAUUGGGCGUAAAGGGUGCGUAGGUGGCGUGGUAAGUCGGGUGUGAAAUUUCGGAGCUUAACUCCGAAACUGCAUUCGAUACUGCGGUGCUUGAGGACUGGAGAGGAGACUGGAAUUCAUGGUGUAGCAGUGAAAUGCGUAGAGAUCAUGAGGAAGACCAGUGGCGAAGGCGGGUCUCUGGACAGUUCCUGACACUGAGACACGAAGGCCAGGGGAGCAAACGUG